This 403-nucleotide ribosomal RNA is filed under the name uncultured bacterium. RNAcentral describes it as "partial 16S ribosomal RNA". It matches the Rfam family "Bacterial small subunit ribosomal RNA", at positions 30 to 526 of the family's 1533-position model. The record is from RNAcentral.
AUUGAACGCUGGCGGCAGGCCUAACACAUGCAAGUCGAGCGAGCGGCGGACGGGUGAGUAAUGUAUGGGGACUGCCCGAUAGAGGGGGAUAACUACUGGAAACGGUGGCUAAUACCGCAUACUAUCGGAUAACCCAUAUGGGAUUAGCUAGUAGGUGGGGUAAAGGCUCACCUAGGCGACGAUCUCUAGCUGGUCUGAGAGGGUGAUCAGCCAAACUGGGACUGAGACACGGCCCAGACUCCUACGGAGGCAGCAGUGGGGAAUAUUGAGCAAUGGACGAAAGUCUGAUGCAGCCACGCCGCGUGAAUGAAGAAGGUCUUAGGGUCGUAAAGUACUUUUAGCGGGGAAGCGUUACCCAACGAAGAAGCAACGGCUAACUCCGUGCCAGCCGCCGCGGUAAUAC